AAUCUCUUUAACAAGCAUUGAACAGAAACCUUGAUAAAAAAUUGAGGACGUCACGCUACGAAAAGUUGUGGUAAGGCACAGGCCUGUGAUCCGCAAAUUUCCUGAGAGUAAACUCAAACAAUAACUUUAUAAAACGACGAGAACUGAAUCAUCUUAGUACCGCCGCAAGAAAUCAAACGAGAAUUUGUAAGUAGUGGUGAAUGAAAACAAAUAAAGGCUAUCGAAAUUUAUGGAUCAAAAAACUAUACGUUGCUUUAAAAGGUUUAAGCCCUGUACUGAGUUAAUAAAUUAAUAAGUUAAGUAAUAUGAAAGCUUAAUUUGUAUGAACAAAGGAGACCCACCUUCUAAGCCACCCAAUUUUUUUAAUCGAUAGUAAACGAGUACUGUGAAGAAAAGGUGAAAAAUCCCGAAAGGGUUACAGUGAAAUUCGAUGCUUAUAAACUAUUCGAAGUUAAAGUUUAAUAACGAAGUGCCUUUUGCAUAAUGAGUCAGUAAGUUAAUAAGUAUAGCGAGUUUAAGUAUAAAUAUGAAAACAACAUACAAGUAAUACUUAUUAAACCUGAAACCAAGUGAUCUACUCACGAACAGGUUGAAAAUUCAUUAACAUGUUUUUUAGGACCGAACUCACACAUGUAGCAAAAUGUGGAGACGAUUCGUGGAUAGGAGCGAAAGACUAAUCAAACUUGGAGAUAGCCGGUUUUUCACGAAAUGUAUUUUAGUACAACAUUAAUCUUAAACAAUCAAUUUUAGGUAGAGUACAAAGUAAAUAAAGGGGUGUAAAAACUUACUAAGUUUAAUUUAACUCCGAAUGACAAUUCAAUAAGAUUAGUAGUCAGUUUUUGAGCGAGAAGGUCCAAAAACGAAAGGAAAACAAUCCAGAUCGCAUACUAAGAUCUUUAAAUUAUAACUUAGUGAAAAAGUUUUAUGAAGCAUCAAAUAAUAGUUUAGAUAGGCUUAGAAGCAGCCUUUCACUAGAGAUAGCGUUUUAGCUCACUAUUUUUUCUUCUUAAAUCUAAAAUGAAAGAAGACUCCAGUUAUAUAUCGAAGUAGCGAAUUUAAACCACAAAUGGUAGUGAAACGUUCUGUAACUUUUUGUCUAUUGAAAAAUUGUCAAACUAAUUCAGAAGCGCCAAUGCUGACAUGAGUAGCGAAAACCAGGUCAAAAAAUCCUGGUCACUUUAAGUUUAAGGGUUUCAACGUAAUUUUAACUUCGUUGAGUUAGUCGGUUCUUAAAAGGCGAAUGAAAAUUAAACUUGAUAGAAAUUUUACAAAACCAUCUAUAUGUAGCAUAAACUAUGAAAAAAAACUUAAUUUGUCAAAUUUUAAAUCUUUUUUGGUCAAAAAUUACAUUUAAAUUUUUCGAGAAAGAACUAUAGUAAACUAAAGACCGUACUUAAACCGACGCUGGUAAGCUUAUCGAAAAGAUUAAAGUGAAUGAAAAAAUUAUAUUCAAGGAAUUCGGCAAAUUAACUCUGUACGUUCGCAAUAAAGAGAGCCUCCAAUGAGGUAGCAUUAAAUAAGAAGCAACGACUGGUUAUCAAAACCACAGGACUCUGCAAAUUAAACAAAAAGUAUAGAGUCUGACGUCUGCCCGGUGCUUGAAAAUAAUAAAUUUUUGUGUUAAGCUUAAAUUCAAAUUACAAGUAAACGGCGGUUCUAACUAUAAGAAUCCUAAGGUAGCGAAAUUCCUUGUCGGGUAAGUUCCGACCUGCAUGAAUGACGUCACGAUUGCUUUACUGUCUCGAAUAUAACUUCAGCGAAAUUACAAUACCUAUGAAAAUGUAGGUUACUUGCAGUAAGACGGAAAGACCCUAGAUCCUUUACUUUAUCUUUGUACUGUAAAAAUUAUAUUGUUGCGUAGCAUAAGUGGGAGUAUUCACGGCUAUGAAAUACCACUCUACUUUAUAAUAUUUUACUUAUUUAUUGAACUUAGUCAAUAAAAACCGUAUAAAGAAGGAAGUUUACUUGGGACGAGAGUCUCCUAAAGCGUAACGGAGAUGCGCAAAGGUAGCUUUGAUUAUCUUUUUUAAUCAACGUGUAAUGGCAAAAGCUGCUUAACAAUUAGAUUGAUAAAUCGAAUUGAGACGAAAGUCAGCCAUAAUGACCCGAUAUUUAAGCGUGGAAUUAAUAUCGUUCAACAGAUAAAAGGAACUCUAGGGAUAACAGAUUCAUCGUGAUUGAGAGUUCGUAUCGAUGUCACGGUUUGAUACCUCGAUGUCGACUCAUCUUAUCCUGAAAUUGAAGCAGAUUUCAAGGGUCUAGUUGUUCGCUAGUUAAAAAGGUACGUGAGUUGGGUUCAGAACGUCGUGAGACAGUUCGGUCCCUAUCUACUGCGAGAAAGAAAAAUAAAGAAUUUAUUUCUAGUACGAGAGGAUCGAAAUACGUUAACCACUAGUGUAUUGAUUGUUAAUCCAUUAGCAUAGUCAAUUAGCCACGUUAAUUCAAGCAUAAGUACUGAAAGAAUCAAAAGUACCAAGGCUCUCUUUCUAUUUUUCAUGAAUAAUCUAAAAGAUUAUUAGAUUGAUCGGUUUAAAAACAAAUUUAGUAAUAAAAUAUUUUAAUAAAUACGAAACUAUUCAAAAAGAUUUCUAA
Molecule: ribosomal RNA, 2592 nt
Filed under: Mastocarpus papillatus
Lineage: Eukaryota; Rhodophyta; Florideophyceae; Gigartinales; Phyllophoraceae
Description: LSU rRNA
Rfam family: Bacterial large subunit ribosomal RNA
Source: RNAcentral